This 3757-nucleotide long non-coding RNA is filed under the name Sus scrofa (pig). RNAcentral describes it as "lncRNA (ENSSSCG00040007228.1)". Lineage: Eukaryota; Metazoa; Chordata; Mammalia; Artiodactyla; Suidae. The record is from RNAcentral.
AGUAUAGAAGGCGCUCAAUAAAUAUUUGUUUAAUGAAUGAAUCAGUCAAGAAAGGGAUAUGGCCUCCUCUGGGUCUUGGUUAGUUCAUGCCCUUAGGGUCACCUGUGUGGUGUCAUAAGUGCUAAAAUCUUAAGCCACAAGGAAUAUGGAAUUUGUUCCCACCACCAUGAUCAUCUGUGAAAAGCCUACCCAAGGUUUUCCCUACCCCUUUCUGUAAAUAUUUCUUGAAUGAAUACACAUCAUGGGUGGGGGAUUUUUCCUCUUUUGGGGGAAGACACUUAUUUUCUUUCCUCGUUUAUUAUUUCAUACAGAUGUGUCCUCCGUGAUGUUUACCUCAACCUAACUCCCAUUUUUCAUUUUUUUUUUUUUUUUUGCCUUUGAGUCACACUCAACCCUGUGCCAGAGAACAAGGCUCUUCAGCUUUCUGAGGGCCACAUGUUUUUGAAAGGAGGUUGAGGAGUUCCUGAGGUGGAGCAGGAUUGAACCUGCAUCCUCAUGGAUACUAGUUGGGUUAAUUACCGCUGAGCCACAACGGGAACUCCUGGAAUCAUACGAUGAAAGCCAGAAACAAGAGCACAGACGUUAAUGGUUUUUUACAUUUGCACUGUACAACCCGCAGGCCACUUGGAAGAGCUUCAGGGGCCAUUAUGAAUGAGGCUUGAAAAGUCCUUGAAGAUCCACUGCUGAAAGGCGGGGGUUGGGAGUUGGAGGCCGUGUGAUGGGUAUAGAAAGGGACUGGGGCAGGGUGAGGAAGCUUGAGCUCGAAUUCUGACUUUGUUGCGGGAAAGAAAGAGCAUUUAUUGUGCCACUGCUACGCGCUACACUUUUUAUCUUGUUUAAUCCUAAUCACCAUCUUUGCUGGGUGGGUGUGAUUGUUCUUAAGAACGAGGAAACAGGUUUAGAAAGGUUAGGAAACCUACUUAAAUUAAGGUCCUACAGCUAAUAAAUGUCGGGGGUGCAUUUGAACCCUGAUCUGUGUAAUACUACUCAAAAGUUAUUGCUCAAUUGACCCUUUGGGGCCUCAUUAUGAAGUAUUGGGAUGAUCUCUGAGAGUCCCUCUGGGUCUCAAAUCCUAGAAAUUCGGUUUUAUCCUGUUCCUUUUGUUAUUGCUUAGCUCUGAAGAUUUAACUUAUCCCUUCUCACCCCUGGAUUGUGAACUGAUAAAGUGAUGUUCCCGCUUCUCCAUCUCCCAGGAGAGGGUGGUAGGAGGACCACUGAAGACCCAGAAACUCUGUUUUAGGCACUGUGUCAUCACAGCGUCUUAAAUCAUUGGGUGGUAGGGGCUGUCGACAUUUUAUUUUCACAGUACACGACCAGUGGGCGAAGAAUUACUGCUAUUUUACCAUUUAGUCCGUGCAACUUUUAACCCAUAGACCAAACUCUUAUCUCCAUGUGCUAGAACUAUUACCUUUACAAGAGGGGUUGAAGUGACCCGGCAAACUAAAGAAAAAGGGAGGAGUGGUUCGGUGUAUAAAACCUCGGGUAGGCUGACUGGUGUCAUCAGUGGACUCCAACAUUUAUAAUGGCUCAAACACAGUACACGUUUCUUUCUCGCUGGUGGGAAAGUACUGGGCACAUUAACACGUCAGCAGGGACCCCAGUUGAAAGAGGCUCUUUCAUCGCCUAUAUUCAGCUACCAAGGCCUUCCUGGGGGUUAUCUCCAUAGGACACGAUUGGAAGAGAAAAGAGCCUGGAGAGGUGCCACGUGGCACUGGAUGAGCCAGGCUAGGAACAGCACACGUCAUUUUCAUCCAGUUCCUUUGCCUGGCACUCAGUCACACGGCUGCACCGAAUGGCUAGGACUCUGACAGGACUGACCCUACGUAAUGGACAGAAGAACACACAUUUUCAGAGGAUGGCUAGCCCUCUGUCACACCCUGGACCAAGUUCAGAAGAGCUGCGUUCUGAUACUGGCUUUCCUUUUAAUGGGCUGGUAGUCUUGUCUUUUCUGUAAAAUGAGCGUGUUAAGCAGCUGAUGUCCAGCAGUUCUUUUUUCUUUAGAAUUCUAUGGCUUUAUGUUGCUCUAGGCAGCUAGUUCUUUGCCUGGAUUCAAUGUGAAAGUCGUGGGUUAAGGCAGCAAACCUUCUCUCAUGCUGAACUUCAUCCUGGCAAAACUGGGAGGGUGGUCGAGGGGCCCCGUGACUCCUCCCCUGGGGAAGUUAUUCUUCUUUGAGCUCAGUAGGCGUUGAUUCACCGGGUGUGGUUCACUUACCCCAGGGAUCUUCCAGCGGGGUGUGCAUGCGCCCUGAUGCGUGUGGAUUUCCCCAGGCGAGCAAGUGCUACAGAGUUUUAAGGGGAUCUUUACCUUCUAUGUGUUUAUAGGGCUCACGAAACUGAUCAAAGAGUAUCUACAGUUUUGUCAGUUCCCCUUUCUCCCCCUUUCACAAAGAAAGUUCUACUGCUUCCUCAUCUUGACGCUUGGAUAGUUCAUUGUUUCAAGUGUAAAAACCUCGAGGGCACCAAACAAAAUCGUUUUUUGAAAUAAUUGGCUUCACUUAUAUUCAAGAUGUUAGAAGUACUUCCUCUCUCUCAUUAAGAGACACAGUUCCAAUAAAAAUUUUUACUUUGUAUAUGUAAUAGUUACUUGUGAAAAUGUGUUUGUCUUUAUGUUAUUUUGAUCAAUUAUAUACUAGUUAUAAUUGAAAAUACAACAAAUAGUGCUUAACUUAAAGCUUUAUAGUCACUGAAAUUUGAAAAAUUAUCUUUUAUUUACAUACAAAAUCCUUUUAAAUUUAACGCUGUUUUAAUUAGACAAAAUUGUAUGGCAAAGGUGAAACAGAAGCGCAAUUUCAAGGAGCUAAAGAAAUGAUUAUGUGCUCAGAGAGAGUGAUGACUUUGACAGAUUCUGUCCUCAUGGAUUAAUGUACUAGUGAGAGAGACAGAAUGUAAACAAAUAAAUUCGUAAAUGGGCAAGAUAAUUUCACAUCAUGAUAGAUGCCAUGAAGAAAGUAAACAGGGUGGUCGUGGAAACCCUCAGAGGAUGUGACAUUUAGUGUGGGCACAAAAGUGGUUUCUCCAUUUACUUUUCUCUUUUGUCUUUUCUGGGGCAUAUGGAGGGUCCCAGGCUAGGGGUCUAGUCAGAGCUGUAGCCGCCAGCCUACGCCAGAGCCACAGCAACGCCAGAUCUGAGCUGCAUCUGUGACCUACAGCACAGCUCAUGGCCAUGCCGUAUCCUUAAUCCACUGAACGAGACCAAGGAUCGAACCCGAAACCUCAUGGUUCCUCGUCGGAUUCAUUUUCCCUGCGUCACGAUGGGAACUCCAGUGGUCUCCCCUUUUGAACAAAUAGAGCCCCUCAGUUGGGGACAGGGAAAGGUUGGGAAGGGGAGCAGAACUUAUUUCUGUUAAAGAAGAUCUGAUUCAUAUAUGUAUAUAUUAUAUAUAUUUUUUCACCUAUCCAUUUCUGUUAAUAAUCUUUGAACUUCUGAUUUCGUGUGACUUCACAUAUUUGAUAAUAUUUAAUUCAGUUUGGAAUAUCAGUUCCUUUUUUUCUGUUUUAUGGUUGGUUUUGUGGGAAAUUUAUCAUGAGCUCAAAAGUUCCGAUUCUCAUUUUCUAUUUUUUUCCUAGACAGCUUUGUGUAGAUUAAACGGCUUGCAUCUCUGUGUUGCAUGAACAGAGUUAGCAUUUGGGGUGGUUUGCCAGAUGCCUAGUUCAAGAAUGUCCUCCCUCAGUCAGUGUAGCAUUCCUUCUGUUCAUUCCUUCGUUCCUUCCUCUCUCUCUCUCUCUUCCUUCCUUCCUCUUUUUUUUUUUUUUUUUU